GGGGUGUAGCUCAGCUGGGAGAGCACCUGCCUUGCAAGCAGGGGGUCAGCGGUUCGAAUCCGCUCAUCUCC
RNAcentral lists this transfer RNA (71 nucleotides) under human gut metagenome. It matches the Rfam family "tRNA". From Rfam's summary of the family: Transfer RNA (tRNA) molecules are approximately 80 nucleotides in length. Their secondary structure includes four short double-helical elements and three loops (D, anti-codon, and T loops). Further hydrogen bonds mediate the characteristic L-shaped molecular structure. tRNAs have two regions of fundamental functional importance: the anti-codon, which is responsible for specific mRNA codon recognition, and the 3' end, to which the tRNAs corresponding amino acid is attached (by aminoacyl-tRNA synthetases). tRNAs cope with the degeneracy of the genetic code in two manners: having more than one tRNA (with a specific anti-codon) for a particular amino acid; and 'wobble' base-pairing, i.e. permitting non-standard base-pairing at the 3rd anti-codon position. RNAcentral also lists the same sequence under 1 other name. The record is from RNAcentral.